GAUCAUGGCUCAGGAUGAACGCUAGCUACAGGCUUAACACAUGCAAGUCGAGGGGCAGCAUUAUCGAAGCUUGCUUUGAUAGAUGGCGACCGGCGCACGGGUGAGUAACGCGUAUCCAACCUUCCCCGAUAGUCCAGGAAUAGCCCGGCGAAAGUCGAAUUAAUGCCUGAUGUUUUCCACGGACGGCAUCCGAUGUGGAACAAAGAUUCAUCGCUAUGGGAUGGGGGAUGCGUCUGAUUAGCUUGUUGGCGGGGUAACGGCCCACCAAGGCAACGAUCAGUAGGGGUUCUGAGAGGAAGGUCCCCCCACAUUGGAACUGAGACACGGUCCAAACUCCUACGGGAGGCAGCAGUGAGGAAUAUUGGUCAAUGGGCGGAAGCCUGAACCAGCCAAGUAGCGUGAGGGAUGACUGCCCUAUGGGUUGUAAACCUCUUUUAUAAGGGAAUAAAAUACGGGACGUGUCCUGUUUUGCAUGUACCUUAUGAAUAAGGACCGGCUAAUUCCGUG
This 507-nucleotide ribosomal RNA is filed under the name uncultured bacterium. RNAcentral's name for it is "bacterial SSU rRNA". It matches the Rfam family "Bacterial small subunit ribosomal RNA", at positions 15 to 507 of the family's 1533-position model. The record is from RNAcentral.